Long non-coding RNA from Tympanuchus pallidicinctus (lesser prairie-chicken), 1162 nucleotides. RefSeq lists it as uncharacterized. The transcript has 3 exons. NCBI's taxonomy places the organism in Eukaryota, Metazoa, Chordata, Aves, Galliformes, Phasianidae. The record is from RefSeq and is a predicted model, not a curated record.
CCGUCAAGCCCUGGGCGGGGAGGAGCGCUCCGGGCUGCGGCUGGGGGUAGGGAGCGAGGGAAGGGCGCUUCAGGGGCAGCGGGGACCCGGCCUGGCCGCUUGUGGUGGCGGCGGCUGCGCCGCCCGGAGCGCUGCUCGCGUAGUGCCGCACCGCCCCGUGCGCGUCCGCGGGACGGGAAAAGCUCCGCCCGGCGCAGCGCUACGAGGAGCGCCCGUGUCCCCGUUGCCCCCCGCCACCCCUCGUGGCAGCCGCCAUCGCCUUAUUUGGUGGGGUCCGAUUAGCGCUCCUGCUCCCGCGCCGCUGAAGCUUCUGCCGUCGGGGCGGCGGCUCUCCCAGCCACGCGAUCUCCGGGCUGGAGGUCCGCUUGUCCCCACGCUUCGCCCGUGUGCAGCGUCCCAAGUGGGUGGGAGGCACCGGCGAGGGGUCGGCGUCACUUCGCGUGCCACGGGAAAAGUACAACUGCCGCGUCCCGUGGCUCCAGCUUGCUGGUACUCAGCACGUGCUCACGUGUGACUUAGGUUCUUGAAGGACUCCUGUUUUUAGGGGCAAAAUAUCAAAGAGGUGUAAGCCACGUGAUCACAGCUCACAGUCAAUUGCUGUUCCUCUAUAACUAACCUGCUACUGCUGCUGCUCAUUUUGGGUAUUGUAGAAUAUCCCAAGUUGGAAGGAACCCACAAAGAUCAUUGAGUAGAGCGCCUGGCUCCGGACAGGACCACCCCAAAUCCAAACCUUAUCUCAGAGCAUUGUCCGAGAGCAGCGUCCAGACGCUCCUCGAACUCCAGCACUCUGGGCCGUGCCCACAGCCCUGUGCAGCCUCUUCCAUGCCCACCGCCCUCUGGUGCAUUCCCUGACCCCCAGCUGCCCCUCCCCUCACACAGCUCCAUGCCGUUCCCUCGGGCCCUGUCACCGUUACACAGAGUGGAGCUCAGCGCUGCCCUUCUGCUCCCUGUGAGGAACUGUGGGCUGCCAUGAUGUCUCCAACUAAAGAGCCCACUGUCCACAUAAGAUCUUAUGCACUGAAUUCAUGGCCUGAAAAUGUCAGUAGGGAUGGCAGUUUCUGCGGAAGCUCAAUUCUGGGAUGAAACGAAGCUUUUUUGGACCUCAACCUAUGCUUUACAGGUGAAUGGAAAUUGACCCUGCGUGUCCAUGGAUGACCUGCAG